UACGUAGGGUGCGAGCGUUGUCCGGAAUUAUUGGGCGUAAAGGGCUCGUAGGCGGUUUGUCGCGUCGGGAGUGAAAACACGGGGCUUAACUCGGUGCUUGCUUUCGAUACGGGCAGACUAGAGGUAUGCAGGGGAGAACGGAAUUCCUGGUGUAGCGGUGAAAUGCGCAGAUAUCAGGAGGAACACCGGUGGCGAAGGCGGUUCUCUGGGCAUUACCUGACGCUGAGGAGCGAAAGUGUGGGGAGCGAACAGG
Molecule: ribosomal RNA, 253 nt
Filed under: uncultured bacterium
Lineage: Bacteria
Description: partial 16S ribosomal RNA
Rfam family: Bacterial small subunit ribosomal RNA
Source: RNAcentral